Molecule: ribosomal RNA, 255 nt
Filed under: Glomus sp.
Lineage: Eukaryota; Fungi; Glomeromycota; Glomeromycetes; Glomerales; Glomeraceae
Description: partial small subunit ribosomal RNA
Rfam family: Eukaryotic small subunit ribosomal RNA
Source: RNAcentral
UUGGAGGGCAAGUCUGGUGCCAGCAGCCGCGGUAAUUCCAGCUCCAAUAGCGUAUAUUAAAGUUGUUGCAGUUAAAAAGCUCGUAGUUGAAUUUCGGAGUCAGCAGGUCGGUCGUGCCACAGGUAUGUACUGGUCUUGCUGAUUCCUCCCUCUUGACGAGCCGUAAUGCCAUUAAUUUGGUGUCGCAGGAAAUCAGGACUGUUACCUUAGAAAAAUUGAGUGUUUAAAGCAGGCUUACGCUUGAAUACAUUAGCA